UGCCAUCCUCAUAAACAACGCUAGGUU
RNAcentral lists this non-coding RNA (27 nucleotides) under Rattus norvegicus (Norway rat). The record is from RNAcentral. Lineage: Eukaryota; Metazoa; Chordata; Mammalia; Rodentia; Muridae.